UUGAGCUUGACUCUAAUCUGGUAGUGUAAGGAGACAUAAGAGGUGUAGCAUAAGUGGGAGAUAUUUAGUUUUUUAGCUAUUUAUCAAAAAUGAAAUACCACUACUCUUAUUGUUUCCUUACUUACUCGAUGAAAUGGAACGUGUGUCAUUUACUUAGCCAUUAUACAAAUUUAUUUUAUAUAUAUUUUAUGGUAUUUUGUUGUGAUGCAAGCUUCUUGAUCAAAGUACCCAAAGAGUUUGUUAUACACACCAAACAAAUUAAAAUGAAAUAAUAUUAAACUAUAUUUUUUAUAAUAAUUUAAUAUUAAAGUAAUUAAAUUUGGUAUAACUCUUUUACACUCUGGUAUGAUCCAAUUCGAGGACAUCACCAGGUAGGGAGUUUGACUGGGGCGGUACAUCUCUCAAACAAUAACGGAGGUGUCCCAAGGCCAGCUCAGUGCGGACAGAAACCACACAUAGAGCAAAAGGGCACAUGCUGACUUGAUCUCGGUGUUCAGUACACACAGAGACGGCAAAAGCUUGGCCUAUCGAUCCUUUUGGGUUAACGAGUUUUUAACAAGAGGUGUCAGAAAAGUUACCACAGGG
RNAcentral lists this ribosomal RNA (585 nucleotides) under Pherocera sp. 4 SLW-2015. RNAcentral describes it as "eukaryotic LSU rRNA". It matches the Rfam family "Eukaryotic large subunit ribosomal RNA", at positions 2416 to 2825 of the family's 3401-position model. Lineage: Eukaryota; Metazoa; Arthropoda; Insecta; Diptera; Therevidae. The record is from RNAcentral.